RNAcentral lists this ribosomal RNA (215 nucleotides) under uncultured fungus. RNAcentral's name for it is "partial small subunit ribosomal RNA". The stretch from base 88 to 215 matches the Rfam family "Eukaryotic small subunit ribosomal RNA", at positions 735 to 864 of the family's 1831-position model. The record is from RNAcentral. Lineage: Eukaryota; Fungi.
GGCUCGACGGGGUGGUCUGCCUCACGGUAUGUACUGCUCGGUUGAGCCUUACCUCUUGGUGAGCCUGCAUGCCCUUUACUGGGUGUGUAGGGGAACCAGGAAUUUUACUUUGAAAAAAUUAGAGUGUUCAAAGCAGGCAUAUGCCCGAAUACAUUAGCAUGGAAUAAUAGAAUAGGACGUGUGGUUCUAUUUUGUUGGUUUCUAGGAUCGCCGUA